AGGACGAACGCUGGCGGCGUGCUUAACACAUGCAAGUCGAGCGGAAAGGCCCUUCGGGGUACUCGAGCGGCGAACGGGUGAGUAACACGUGAGCAACCUGCCCUCAGCUCUGGGAUAGCUCCCGGAAACGGGAUUAAUACCGGAUACGACCCAACUGACAUCGGUCAGGGUGGAAAGGAUUCCGGCUGAGGAUGGACUCGCGGCCUAUCAGCUAGUUGGUGGAGUAACGGCCCACCAAGGCGACGACGGGUA
Molecule: ribosomal RNA, 252 nt
Filed under: uncultured bacterium
Lineage: Bacteria
Description: partial small subunit ribosomal RNA
Rfam family: Bacterial small subunit ribosomal RNA
Source: RNAcentral